GGAUAUAUAGAAUCUUGUAAAAAAAUCAUGGUUGUAUCAGAACUCCGCAGUUAAGCGCGUGCUUGGGUGAGAGUAGUACUGGGAUAGGUGACUUCCCGGGAAGUCCUCAUUUUUUAUUUU
RNAcentral lists this ribosomal RNA (120 nucleotides) under Brassica napus (rape). Lineage: Eukaryota; Viridiplantae; Streptophyta; Magnoliopsida; Brassicales; Brassicaceae. The record is from RNAcentral.